CGGACGACUCUCGGCAACGGAUAUCUCGGCUCUCGCAUCGAUGAAGAACGUAGCGAAAUGCGAUACUUGGUGUGAAUUGCAGAAUCCCGUGAACCAUCGAGUCUUUGAACGCAAGUUGCGCCCGAGGCCAUCCGGCCAAGGGCACGCCUGCCUGGGCGUCACGA
RNAcentral lists this ribosomal RNA (164 nucleotides) under Musa ingens. Its description in RNAcentral is "5.8S ribosomal RNA". It matches the Rfam family "5.8S ribosomal RNA". Rfam says of the family: 5.8S ribosomal RNA (5.8S rRNA) is a component of the large subunit of the eukaryotic ribosome. It is transcribed by RNA polymerase I as part of the 45S precursor that also contains 18S and 28S rRNA. Lineage: Eukaryota; Viridiplantae; Streptophyta; Magnoliopsida; Zingiberales; Musaceae. The record is from RNAcentral.